CCGAGGAGUCCUGGCCGUUCGCGAGUCGUAGGGGCUCGUCGAACCCUGAAGGCACAGCGAAAGCGAAAGAGCACAGUGUGAUGUGACCGUGUGUAUGUGUGCUGGUGUCGUUUGUGCGAUAACUUCUUAUAUAUAUCACCCAUAUCUCGCGUUGCCCGCCGGUGAGAUCUGUAUUUUCAUCUUCGGUGGUUCGCAUCUUUGCGCGCGCCGCAAGAGACCAUUUCCAGCGCAUCACCCCCGGGUCGGAUACAGAUGCGUUCGGCGUUUUGCGCGUCAGACAAGUCUGCCGACUCAGGUGUAGCGAAUGACCAGGGACCCGAAAGAUGGCGAUCCACGCCCGGUCGGGACGAAGCCAGAGGAAACUCUGGUGGAAGUCCGAAGCGCCUCUGACGUGCAAAUCGAUCGUCGGAACCGGGUGUAGGGGCGAAAGACCAAUCGAGCCAUCUA
This 447-nucleotide ribosomal RNA is filed under the name Stauroteuthis syrtensis. RNAcentral's name for it is "eukaryotic LSU rRNA". It matches the Rfam family "Eukaryotic large subunit ribosomal RNA", at positions 666 to 946 of the family's 3401-position model. The record is from RNAcentral. Lineage: Eukaryota; Metazoa; Mollusca; Cephalopoda; Octopoda; Stauroteuthidae.